RNAcentral lists this ribosomal RNA (253 nucleotides) under uncultured bacterium. RNAcentral's name for it is "partial 16S ribosomal RNA". It matches the Rfam family "Bacterial small subunit ribosomal RNA", at positions 524 to 776 of the family's 1533-position model. The record is from RNAcentral.
UACGUAGGGUGCGAGCGCUAAUCGGAAUUACUGGGCGUAAAGCGUGCGCAGGCGGUUCGUUGUGUCUGAUGUGAAAGCCCCGGGCUCAACCUGGGAAUGGCAUUGGAAACUGGCGAGCUAGAGUGUGGCAGAGGGGGGUGGAAUUCCGCGUGUAGCAGUGAAAUGCGUAGAGAUGCGGAGGAACACCGAUGGCGAAGGCAGCCCCCUGGGCUGACACUGACGCUCAGGCACGAAAGCGUGGGGAGCAAACAGG